Long non-coding RNA from Branchiostoma floridae (Florida lancelet), 307 nucleotides. RefSeq lists it as uncharacterized. The transcript has 3 exons. Lineage: Eukaryota; Metazoa; Chordata; Leptocardii; Amphioxiformes; Branchiostomatidae. The record is from RefSeq and is a predicted model, not a curated record.
CGUACGGUCCGGGUGGCUGCAAAACCAAAUUCUCUGCAACUUCUGCGGCUGCUGCUAUGGGCUCUGGCGUCAUAGCGCUCGUUUUAAGUGCAAACGAGGCACUAUCAGCACGAGAUGUCCAGCAUCUGAUCGCAAGAACGUCAAAAAACAACGGUAUUUGCGGAAAUACAUGGAAGAUGAACGCUGCUGGUUUUAGAGUGAGUGACUACUGCGGAUUCGGGCUGCUUGAUGCCGGAAAGCUGACAUCAUUAGCUGUCACCUGGAGGUCCGUUUCAGAGCAGGUCGUGUGCAGUUUGAAACAGAUUGA